RNAcentral lists this ribosomal RNA (497 nucleotides) under uncultured bacterium. Its description in RNAcentral is "partial 16S ribosomal RNA". It matches the Rfam family "Bacterial small subunit ribosomal RNA", at positions 28 to 507 of the family's 1533-position model. The record is from RNAcentral.
GAUGAACGCUGGUGGCGUGCCUAAUACAUGCAAGUCGAGCGAACGGACGAGAAGCUUGCUUCUCUGAUGUUAGCGGCGGACGGGUGAGUAACACGUGGAUAACCUACCUAUAAGACUGGGAUAACUUCGGGAAACCGGAGCUAAUACCGGAUAAUAUUUUGAACCGCAUGGUUCAAAAGUGAAAGGCGGUCUUGCUGUCACUUAUAGAUGGAUCCGCGCUGCAUUAGCUAGUUGGUAAGGUAACGGCUUACCAAGGCAACGAUGCAUAGCCGACCUGAGAGGGUGAUCGGCCACACUGGAACUGAGACACGGUCCAGACUCCUACGGGAGGCAGCAGUAGGGAAUCUUCCGCAAUGGGCGAAAGCCUGACGGAGCAACGCCGCGUGAGUGAUGAAGGUCUUCGGAUCGUAAAACUCUGUUAUUAGGGAAGAACAUAUGUGUAAGUAACUGUGCACAUCUUGACGGUACCUAAUCAGAAAGCCACGGCUAACUACGUG